Molecule: small RNA, 131 nt
Filed under: Bacillus massilioanorexius
Lineage: Bacteria; Bacillati; Bacillota; Bacilli; Caryophanales; Bacillaceae
Description: Ribosomal protein L20 leader
Rfam family: Ribosomal protein L20 leader
About the family: This family is a putative r-protein leader autoregulatory structure found in B. subtilis and other low-GC Gram-positive bacteria. It is located in the 5' untranslated regions of mRNAs encoding initiation factor 3 followed by ribosomal proteins L35 and L20 (infC-rpmI-rplT).
Source: RNAcentral
AGAAAAGAAGGAGCACCCGCUUCUCACCUGAUAACGCAUUGAGCAGUUUACAGGUCUUGGUUUUCUAUUUGGCAGUUUUGUCUAAUUAGUCUAUCAUAAGUGUGGGUGUAUAAGCAUCCACACUUUUUUAA